GUGCCAGCAGCCGCGGUAAUACGUAGGGUGCGAGCGUUGUCCGGAAUUACUGGGCGUAAAGAGCUCGUAGGUGGUUUGUCGCGUCGUUUGUGUAAGCCCGCAGCUUAACUGCGGGACUGCAGGCGAUACGGGCAUAACUAGAGUGCUGUAGGGGAGACUGGAAUUCCUGGUGUAGCGGUGAAAUGCGCAGAUAUCAGGAGGAACACCGAUGGCGAAGGCAGGUCUCUGGGCAGUAACUGACGCUGAGGAGCGAAAGCAUGGGGAGCGAACAGGAUUAGAUACCCUGGUAGUCCAUGCCGUAAACGGUGGGCGCUAGGUGUGGGGAUCUUUCUACGAUUUCCGUGCCGUAGCUAACGCAUUAAGCGCCCCGCCUGGGGAGUACGGCCGCAAGGCUAAAACUCAAAGGAAUUGACGGGGGCCCGCACAAGCGGCGGAGCAUGUGGAUUAAUUCGAUGCAACGCGAAGAACCUUACCUGGGCUUGACAUACACCAGAUCGGCGCAGAGAUGCGUCUUCCCUUGUGGCUGGUGUACAGGUGGUGCAUGGUUGUCGUCAGCUCGUGUCGUGAGAUGUUGGGUUAAGUCCCGCAACGAGCGCAACCCUUGUCUUGUGUUGCCAGCACGUAAUGGUGGGGACUCGCGAGAGACUGCCGGGGUUAACUCGGAGGAAGGUGGGGAUGACGUCAAAUCAUCAUGCCCCUUAUGUCCAGGGCUUCACACAUGCUACAAUGGUCGGUACAACGCGCAGCGACACUGUGAGGUGGAGCGAAUCGCUGAAAGCCGGCCUUAGUUCGGAUUGGGGUCUGCAACUCGACCCCAUGAAGUCGGAGUCGCUAGUAAUCGCAGAUCAGCAAUGCUGCGGUGAAUACGUUCCCGGGCCUUGUACACACCGCCCGUCACGUCAUGAAAGUUGGUAACACCCGAAGCCGGUGGCCCAAACUUGUUAGGGAGCCGUCGAAGGUGGGAUCGGCGAUUGGGACGAAGUCGUAACAAGGUA
Molecule: ribosomal RNA, 995 nt
Filed under: uncultured Corynebacterium sp.
Lineage: Bacteria; Bacillati; Actinomycetota; Actinomycetes; Mycobacteriales; Corynebacteriaceae
Description: bacterial SSU rRNA
Rfam family: Bacterial small subunit ribosomal RNA
Source: RNAcentral